Ailuropoda melanoleuca (giant panda) is the source of this 2774-nucleotide long non-coding RNA. RefSeq lists it as uncharacterized. Lineage: Eukaryota; Metazoa; Chordata; Mammalia; Carnivora; Ursidae. The record is from RefSeq and is a predicted model, not a curated record. The transcript is spliced from 3 exons.
UUAAAUGUGGUUGUGGGGUGAGGUUGUUUCUCUCUGGAACAUGGCCCUGGGAGCUGCUGUUCCUGCACUGAUCAAGACAAAGGGACCUCACCUGCAGCUUAGAGCUCACCCAGCUGCCCCCAGCAGGAAGGACAGCCCCCCAGCAGAGCCCGACCUAGAUCAGCCAGACUUCAGACGACCCACACACCAUGAACAUGACAGUAACUGUUUUGGGGAAGUUGCUGCUCUUUUCAUGGCUUAACUAAUGGCUUCUCAGCAAGAUCAGAGCAGACGGGUCACCACAAACUCCCGAAGGUCUCACUCUCAGGUGGAGCUGAAGGGAUGAUAAUACAGAAGAGGCUGGGCUGGGGCAGGUGGCCCGCCCACCGUGUACCUGUUUUCAGCCUGUUUGCUUGUUAGUCUCUGGAAAAGCGUGGGACCCCGCAGUCUAAGCAGAGGAACAAACCCACAUGGACCAAACGCUCUGCAACAAAAAGGCUGAUGGUAGGAGUCUGUGCUCAUCGGCCUUUCUAAACCUGCAGGUUUCCUCUUCCUCCUUUGCAGUGAAUGGAAUGCCGCCUGGAUUCCUCAGUUGACCAGCAGGCCAGAAACAGGAACGAAAGGUGCUCACGGACCCGUCACAGUGUGCUCUGUCUCUACAAAGAUCAUCUGCAGCCACUGUGGGGAAAAACUAAAAUAUUACCCAGACCAACCCAUUCCACAGCUAGCGGGUGCUGAAGGAAGCGGGUCAAGCCCCAUGUGAGGAGGGAGCAAAUUGCCUUUGUGCCUACGGGGUAAGGAGGCACGUGCCACACACAUCUGGGAAAUCGCAACAUUUGUCUUCUGUGUUCCCUUCAUUCUCCUCUUGGCAUCUCCUCUCACUGUUGACAUCCUCAUUCAUUCACCAAACAUUAACUGAGGACCACGCAUAUGUCAGAGACCCUCUUGGAGGGCCUGGGCUGGGUAAGAAGAUUUACGAGGAAUUGAGAGAGGAAUAAAGAAUGACACAAAUUCAGCUAUUAUAGUGCACUACAUACUACCCAACUAUCUACCCACCAUCUACCAUCACAGCGAUCCCAGAUCAAUCAUCUAUUAUCAUCUAUCUAUGAAACAGACAGUAAAGACUAAGAGCUAGUAAAAGGGAACUUCAGGCUUCUCAGCCCUUGAGUCCUUCUGUGAUGCGAUGACCAUGGGGAAGAGGAGUGACGUCAGGCCAUCUGUCCUUCCCAUUCCAGCAUCUGUUCUGGGGAGUGGUCACUCUGAAGAUGGGACCAGGCUCCUGUGAGAUGCUGAGGGCAGCAUCUCAGGGCCAACUUUCCUCCCAGGGGUCCAGAUAAUGCCCAUUCAUGGACGUCCUCCUGCACAGUAAGGGCAUGACCUCAGACAGAGUUCACUGAGCUGGCCUGGUCUGAGCCUUGACCCUUGUGUGAAGAGGGCAUCGAGUUACCUGCAAAGCAUAGUGACUUUUUCAGAACAAGGGCUGAGUUAAGAGUACAUAUGUUAACAUGGAGACCCUUAAAGAUUUUGGGGGAUGAACAGCAGUGGGAGAUGUCUAUAUGGAUUUUCUAAGAUGAUCCUUUCACCUGUUCUGAGAGUCAGGUCACUGCCCAGGGCACCAUCAUCUGGCAGGUCAGUGGGAGGGAGCUGCUUUCAACAAUGCAGAGAAAGUGGGUAAAAGACCCCUCUAUGUUGCAGAAACUCUGUCUCUGCAGUAACUGGAGAGAAGACAGGAGGACUGAGCAGUAAGGAAGGAGGUGCCCGCUCACAUGCUUCAGGUAGGAGGGGGUUAGCACACAGAACAAACAGCACGCUUGCCCUGCUCAGCAAACUUUCUGGUCUGCGGUCACCCAGGGGAGCUCCGCACACACUUCUCCACUGCACUGCCACAGUGUAGACAUUUUUGGCACUCCCCAAACUACCUUCAGAGCCCUUUUAUGCGUCAUAAAAGCAAAUGUAUCUCAUUAUAGUCAUGUCUUAUUUAGGACCCCAAAUAAUAGAGCUCAGAUCGGUCCCUACCUUAUUCUCCAGGCGAGGUUCAACCACAACACUUAUAAUAGCUAACUUUUAUUAAUCUCUCCCACGUGCCAGGCUCUGUGCUGAGCACUUUGCCUCAUUUAGCGCUCUCGGGAACAUUAGGAAGAGUAAGUGAUGGUUAGCUCCAUUUUGUGGUGAGGGAUCCGAAGCACAGAUUUACCACUCCUGAUUAUAUUCAAGAGAAUGUGCCUUUGGCUCCGCAGAGAAUUUAGAAAUAGGAGCCCCACACUGCUUUAAGUCAAUUAGAUGCCAGCGCACUGAAAUAAACACACACAAAGCCUGUCAAGCCUACCACCUGGAAGGGGCAGCACCAACGCUGAGCUUUGAUCUGCAUGCUGGAGGGGCUCAUACGCGGAUUUGGGAGUAAGGCAGCACGAGGAAAUGGGCAUCAUGGCGAAUCCUGUCUCUGGUGAGGGCGAUGGUGGAGGCAUCUGGCUUUGGGGUGGCAGCAGUGACAGAAAUCCUGGGUCCAGUGUCCACCAUGGUGAGUGCCAUGUCUGUGUGUGCCCAGUGGGGCAGUCGUGAGAUCCUUGUUCUGCAAUGUGACUGGGUUUCCUGGCCCCCAAUCUUCUGGUCCUCCUAAAGACUGAACUCCCUAUGGAACCCUUUGAUGAGAAGCUUUUCUCCGUAGCUAGCUGAAGUAGGUGCUGCUGUUGUUAAGAACCCCACUUAGGGGGGCCUGGGCAGCUCAUUGGUUAAGUGUCCGACUCCUGAUCUCAGCUCAGGUCUUGAUCUCAGGGUUGUAAGUUCAAGCCCCGCAU